RNAcentral lists this ribosomal RNA (182 nucleotides) under uncultured bacterium. Its description in RNAcentral is "partial 16S ribosomal RNA". It matches the Rfam family "Bacterial small subunit ribosomal RNA", at positions 1319 to 1500 of the family's 1533-position model. The record is from RNAcentral.
CAUGAAGCUGGAAUCGCUAGUAAUCGCGGAUCAGAAUGCCGCGGUGAAUACGUUCCCGGGUCUUGUACACACCGCCCGUCACGCCAUGGGAGUCGGAAAUGCCCGAAGUCUGUGACCCAACCGCGAGGAGGGAGCAGCCGAAGGCAGGUCGGAUGACUGGGGUGAAGUCGUAACAAGGUAAC